RNAcentral lists this ribosomal RNA (251 nucleotides) under uncultured prokaryote. RNAcentral describes it as "partial 16S rRNA". It matches the Rfam family "Bacterial small subunit ribosomal RNA", at positions 525 to 775 of the family's 1533-position model. The record is from RNAcentral.
ACGGGGGGUGCAAGCGUUGUUCGGAAUUAUUGGGCGUAAAGCGCGUGUAGGCGGUUUGUUAAGUCUGAUGUGAAAGCCCUGGGCUCAACCCAGGAAGUGCAUUGAAAACUGGUAGGCUAGAAUCUGGGAGAGGGUAAUGGAAUUCCUGGUGUAGGAGUGAAAUCCGUAGAUAUCAGGAGGAACACCGAUGGCGAAGGCGAUUGCCUGGAACGGUAUUGACGCUGAGGCGCGAAAGCGUGGGUAGCAAACAG